CCUGUAGUGGGGGAUAGCCCGGCGAAAGCCGGAUUAAUACCGCAUACGCUCUACGGAGGAAAGGGGGGGAUCUUAGGACCUCCCGCUACAGGGGCGGCCGAUGGCAGAUUAGCUAGUUGGUGGGGUAAAGGCCUACCAAGGCGACGAUCUGUAGCUGGUCUGAGAGGACGACCAGCCACACUGGGACUGAGACACGGCCCAGACUCCUACGGGAGGCAGCAGUGGGGAAUUUUGGACAAUGGGGGCAACCCUGAUCCAGCAAUGCCGCGUGUGUGAAGAAGGCCUUCGGGUUGUAAAGCACUUUUGUCCGGAAAGAAAACGCCGUGGUUAAUACCCGUGGCGGAUGACGGUACCGGAAGAAUAAGCACCGGCUAACUACGUGCCAGCAGCCGCGGUAAUACGUAGGGUGCAAGCGUUAAUCGGAAUUACUGGGCGUAAAGCGUGCGCAGGCGGUCCGCUAAGACAGAUGUGAAAUCCCCGGGCUUAACCUGGGAACUGCAUUUGUGACUGGCGGGCUAGAGUAUGGCAGAGGGGGGUAGAAUUCCACGUGUAGCAGUGAAAUGCGUAGAGAUGUGGAGGAAUACCGAUGGCGAA
This 594-nucleotide ribosomal RNA is filed under the name Paraburkholderia fungorum. RNAcentral's name for it is "bacterial SSU rRNA". It matches the Rfam family "Bacterial small subunit ribosomal RNA", at positions 130 to 719 of the family's 1533-position model. The record is from RNAcentral. Lineage: Bacteria; Pseudomonadati; Pseudomonadota; Betaproteobacteria; Burkholderiales; Burkholderiaceae.